Molecule: non-coding RNA, 46 nt
Filed under: Guillardia theta
Lineage: Eukaryota; Cryptophyceae; Pyrenomonadales; Geminigeraceae
Source: RNAcentral
CCGGGGAAAGUCUCCGUACACAAGGCUGAGAUGAGGGUAGUAGACA